Molecule: transfer RNA, 69 nt
Filed under: Diporiphora reginae
Lineage: Eukaryota; Metazoa; Chordata; Lepidosauria; Squamata; Agamidae
Description: tRNA-Trp
Source: RNAcentral
AGGGAUUUAGGCUAACUCAAACCGAGGGCCUUCAAAGCCCUAAAUAAGAGACACCCCUCUUAAUCCCUG